UACGAAGGGGGCUAGCGUUGUUCGGAUUUACUGGGCGUAAAGCGCGCGCAGGCGGCCUAUCAAGUCAGGGGUGAAAUCCCAGAGCUCAACUCUGGAAUUGCCCUUGAGACUGUUGGGCUUCGAGUACGGGAGAGGUGAGUGGAAUUCCCAGUGUAGAGGUGAAAGUCGUAGAUAUUGGGAAGAACACCAGUGGCGAAGGCGGCUCACUGGCCCGUUACUGACGCUCAGGCGCGACAGCGUGGGGAUCAAACAGG
RNAcentral lists this ribosomal RNA (254 nucleotides) under uncultured bacterium. RNAcentral describes it as "partial 16S ribosomal RNA". It matches the Rfam family "Bacterial small subunit ribosomal RNA", at positions 524 to 776 of the family's 1533-position model. The record is from RNAcentral.